RNAcentral lists this non-coding RNA (684 nucleotides) under Hanseniaspora osmophila. RNAcentral describes it as "Eukaryotic small subunit ribosomal RNA". It matches the Rfam family "Eukaryotic small subunit ribosomal RNA". Lineage: Eukaryota; Fungi; Ascomycota; Saccharomycetes; Saccharomycodales; Saccharomycodaceae. The record is from Rfam by way of RNAcentral.
GGGGGAGWAUGGUCGCAAGGCUGAAACUUAAAGGAAUUGACGGAAGGGCACCACCAGGAGUGGAGCCUGCGGCYUAAUUUGACUCAACACGGGGAAACUCACCAGGUCCAGACACAAUAAGGWUUGACAGAUUGAGAGCUCUUUCUUGUUUUUGUGGGUGGUGGUGCUUGGCCGUUUUUAGUUGGUGGAGUGAUUUGUCUGCUUAAUUGCGAUAACGAACGAACCUUUAACCUUUAAUAGUUCUACGCGGCUUUUUGCUCGUUUGAACUUCUUAGAGGGACUAUCGAUUUCAAGUCGAUGGAAGUUUGAGGCAAUAACAGGUCUGUGAUGCCCUUAGACGUUCUGGGCCGCACGCGCGCUACACUGACGGAGCCAGCGAGUGUAUCCUUGGUCGAGAGACCUGGGUAAUCUUGUGAAACUCCGUCGUGCUGGGGAUAGAGCAUUGCAAUUAUUGCUCUUCAACGAGGAAUUCCUAGUAAGCGCAAGUCAUCAGCUUDCGUUGAUUACGUCCCUGCCCUUUGUACACACCGCCCGUCGCUAGUACCGAUUGAAUGGCUUAGUGAGGCUUCCGGAUUUGCUUAGAAGGAGGGGCAACUCUCUUUCAGAGCGGAGAAGCUAGUCAAACUUGGUCAUUUAGAGGAACUAAAAGUCGUAACAAGGUUUCCGUAGGUGAACCUGCGGAAG